AUGAUUAGUGGCGGACGGGUGAGUAACAUUUAGGAAUCUACCUAGUAGUGGGGGAGUAGCUCGGGGAAACUCGAAUUAAUACCGCAUACGACCUACGGGUGAAAGGGGGCGCAAGCUCUUGCUAUUAGAUGAGCCUAAAUCAGAUUAGCUAGUUGGUGGGGUAAAGGCCCGCCAAGGCGACGAUCUGUAACUGGUCUGAGAGGAUGAUCAGUCACACCGGAACUGAGACACGGUCCGG
RNAcentral lists this ribosomal RNA (238 nucleotides) under uncultured Pseudomonadales bacterium. Its description in RNAcentral is "partial 16S ribosomal RNA". It matches the Rfam family "Bacterial small subunit ribosomal RNA", at positions 88 to 334 of the family's 1533-position model. Lineage: Bacteria; Pseudomonadati; Pseudomonadota; Gammaproteobacteria; Pseudomonadales. The record is from RNAcentral.